Long non-coding RNA from Engraulis encrasicolus (European anchovy), 679 nucleotides. RefSeq lists it as uncharacterized. The record is from RefSeq and is a predicted model, not a curated record. The transcript is spliced from 3 exons. NCBI's taxonomy places the organism in Eukaryota, Metazoa, Chordata, Actinopteri, Clupeiformes, Engraulidae.
CAACCGCGUUUGCAGUUCUGCCCAUGGUCCCGCCCCAUAUCUGGCAGCCAAUGGGGGCGGCCCAAUUUCAAAUUAGGGCUCACCGCGCGUGUCGUUCGCAAAAAAUAACUGCCGCUGCUGAAGAGAAGCAAAGAAGACCACCGAGCUGGAGAAGAGCUAAAAAACGCAAUUUAUAGAUUACAAUGGCAUUUGCCAAUUAUUAUAUCAACGACAAGACUGUGGAAGAUGGGAAGAUUUCAUGAAUAAGUCCUGACGACCGGCAAUUAUGUCCAACAACAGUAAAUCACUCAGUGCCCUGAUCUGGAAGAAGACGAAUGGAUGGAGAUAAAGGGGGAGAUUAACGACAGGAAAAAGUCAAACGGCCCAGCCUUUUUUCCUGGAAAGGUUUUGAUGACUGCUGAGCUUCCAGGAGUAGUAGUGACAAGGCCCCAACACCUCCAUCAACCUGGUCAACACACCACCUGGAGAUUGCCUACCUUCUGCACAGAGCUCUCAAGUGUUAUCUGAGCCUGAUGAUAUGCUCAUGCCCAGGCGAAAUUCCCUGACCACCAUGCAAGAUGUGAGACGAAUAAUAAGACAGAAGUACAACAACACCAAGCAAGUAAACGAAAAGAAGUCCCAAAUGUCAACAUAUUAUGUAAAAAUAAAUAUGAAAUAAAUAAAUCAAACUUAUUUUCAA